This 527-nucleotide ribosomal RNA is filed under the name uncultured bacterium. RNAcentral describes it as "bacterial SSU rRNA". It matches the Rfam family "Bacterial small subunit ribosomal RNA", at positions 984 to 1509 of the family's 1533-position model. The record is from RNAcentral.
ACAUCCAGAGAAUUUAGCAGAGAUGCUUUAGUGCCUUCGGGAACUCUGAGACAGGUGCUGCAUGGCUGUCGUCAGCUCGUGUUGUGAAAUGUUGGGUUAAGUCCCGCAACGAGCGCAACCCUUAUCCUUUGUUGCCAGCACGUAAUGGUGGGAAACUCAAAGGAGACUGCCGGUGAUAAACCGGAGGAAGGUGGGGAUGACGUCAAGUCAUCAUGGCCCUUACGAGUAGGGCUACACACGUGCUACAAUGGCGCAUACAAAGAGAAGCGACCUCGCGAGAGCAAGCGGACCUCAUAAAGUGCGUCGUAGUCCGGAUUGGAGUCUGCAACUCGACUCCAUGAAGUCGGAAUCGCUAGUAAUCGUAAAUCAGAAUGUUACGGUGAAUACGUUCCCGGGCCUUGUACACACCGCCCGUCACACCAUGGGAGUGGGUUGCAAAAGAAGUAGAUAGCUUAACCUUCGGGAGGGCGUUUACCACUUUGUGAUUCAUGACUGGGGUGAAGUCGUAACAAGGUAAGCGUAGUGCU